This 170-nucleotide ribosomal RNA is filed under the name uncultured Acholeplasma sp. Its description in RNAcentral is "partial 16S ribosomal RNA". It matches the Rfam family "Bacterial small subunit ribosomal RNA", at positions 1214 to 1382 of the family's 1533-position model. Lineage: Bacteria; Bacillati; Mycoplasmatota; Mollicutes; Acholeplasmatales; Acholeplasmataceae. The record is from RNAcentral.
CUACAAACGUGAUACAAUGGACUGGAACAAAGGGAGGCGAAGGGUGACCUGGAAGCGAAACCCAAAAAUACAGUCUCAGUUCGGAUUGAAGUCUGCAACUCGACUUCAUGAAGUCGGAAUCGCUAGUAAUCGCGGAUCAGAACGCCGCGGUGAAUACGUUCUCGGGGUUU